AUACGUAGGGAGCGAGCGUUGUCCGGAAUUACUGGGUGUAAAGGGUGCGUAGGCGGGACUGCAAGUCAGAUGUGAAAUGCCGGGGCUCAACCCCGGAGCUGCAUUUGAAACUGUGGUUCUUGAGUGAGGUAGAGGUAAGCGGAAUUCCUAGUGUAGCGGUGAAAUGCGUAGAAAUUAGGAAGAACAUCGGGGGCGAAGGCGUCUUUGUGGACGGUAACUGACGCUGAGGCGCGAAAGCGUGGGUAGAGAACAGGAUUAGAUCCCCUGGUAGUCCACGCCGUAAACGAUGGAUACUAGGGGUAGGGGGUAUCAACUCCCUCUGUGCCGCAGUUAACACAAUAAGUAUCCCGCCUGGGGAGUACGGUCGCAAGAUUAAAACUCAAAUGAAUUGACGGGG
RNAcentral lists this ribosomal RNA (397 nucleotides) under uncultured bacterium. RNAcentral describes it as "partial 16S ribosomal RNA". It matches the Rfam family "Bacterial small subunit ribosomal RNA", at positions 523 to 918 of the family's 1533-position model. The record is from RNAcentral.